Long non-coding RNA from Marmota monax (woodchuck), 335 nucleotides. RefSeq lists it as uncharacterized. The transcript has 2 exons. NCBI's taxonomy places the organism in Eukaryota, Metazoa, Chordata, Mammalia, Rodentia, Sciuridae. The record is from RefSeq and is a predicted model, not a curated record.
UUAUUGUUUUGAACCCUGAUUACAAGUCACAUGACCAAGAACAAUUAAAAAAGGAGAUUCAGGAUCAUGCAAAAAGAAGUACAGCACCUUACAAAUACCCAAGAAAGGUAGAAUUUAUUCAAGAGCUGCCAAAGACUAUUAGUGGGAAGAUAAAAAGAAAUGAACAGAAGAAAAAAGAAUGGAAAACAAUUUAAAUUCAUCCCAUUAUCAUAGUACAUAUGAAAUAAACACAGAGGCUGAAUUUGAAAUAAAAAAAUUCAAUAGAUUCCUAUGCACCAGUGUCAAUGUUCCUAUAAUUUGGCAUCACAAAAUAAAUGUCAUCAGUUGCUCAGGAA